This 72-nucleotide transfer RNA is filed under the name Candidatus Kaiserbacteria bacterium RIFCSPHIGHO2_01_FULL_49_13. RNAcentral's name for it is "tRNA-Asn". It matches the Rfam family "tRNA". Rfam says of the family: Transfer RNA (tRNA) molecules are approximately 80 nucleotides in length. Their secondary structure includes four short double-helical elements and three loops (D, anti-codon, and T loops). Lineage: Bacteria; Candidatus Kaiseribacteriota. The record is from RNAcentral.
UCCGGAGUAGCUCAACGGUAGAGCAGCUCCCUGUUAAGGAGUUGGUUGCAGGUUCGAAUCCUGCCUCCGGAG